UACAUGGGGUGCAAACGUUGCUCGGAAUUAUUGGGCGUAAAGCGUACGUAGGCGGUUCGUUAAGUCGGAUGUGAAAGCCCUCGGCUCAACUGAGGAAGUGCACCCGAAACUGGCGAGCUUGAGUACGAAAGAGGAUCGCGGAAUUCCCGGUGUAGAGGUGAAAUUCGUAGAUAUCGGGAGGAACACCGGUGGCGAAGGCGGCGAUCUGGGUCGAUACUGACGCUGAGGUGCGAAAGCGUGGGGAGCAAACAGG
This 253-nucleotide ribosomal RNA is filed under the name uncultured bacterium. RNAcentral describes it as "partial 16S ribosomal RNA". It matches the Rfam family "Bacterial small subunit ribosomal RNA", at positions 524 to 776 of the family's 1533-position model. The record is from RNAcentral.